UGCUCGGGCCCCUGCACCCACAUGGGAGACCUAGAGGAGGCUCCUGGUUCCUGGCUUUGGAUCAUUGCAGCUCUGGCCGUUGUGGCCAUCUGUGGAGUAAACCAGCUGAUGGAAGACCUCCCUGUCUCUCUUUGUCUGCCUCUGCCCCUUUGUGACUCUGCCUUUCAAAUAAAUCAAUAAAUCUUAAAAAAAAAAAAAAAAGAAUAGCUGCUAACACCACAUAAAAUUUUCCCUCUUCCGGAUUUCAUUUUUCCCUUCUAUCAUUGAAUCAGUGAGCUUCCUGAUCACCUUCACACCAUUCUUCCCCUCCUCAUUCCUUCACUGGACAGCUCCUUCUGACUCCCACUGUUAGCAGAGUGAAUACAUCUUCCUUUCCUUUUGCAUUCUGACCUUUGUGACUAGCCUUACAUCUCCAACUCUGAAGAGAAUACAUCUCUCUUUUUCACAUUCUAAUUCACAAAGGCUAACUGAAAUCUUGGGACUAAUCAGAAUAUUUGUUCAACAUAUGAAUAAUGCUUGCUUAAUAAUUCCAGGGACUGAGUGCAGGGAAAUGGGAAAAAUGGUGAGACCCCAGAUAAGGAAUUAUUUACAAUCACUAACUACAAAUAGUCAAUUUUACAUCAAAGGAACUUCGCCUAACUGAUGUCAAAAUGAUUGACUUGGGAACCUGCUGACCGUCAACUGAACCCUUUAUCCUCCCUAACACCCCUACUUGCCUUUCUCUUUUAAAAGGUCUGCUAACUUGCAGAUGAGCAAAAGCUAAAGAUCUCUGCCUUUCCUCUCUUCAUGACUGCUAGCCUCUUGAAUAAACCUGUUGCCUCUCCUCAACUCUUGUCACUGAUGAAUUGUCUGACCACUCUGUCAGAUACACCCACAUCUACUACAUUCUCUUCAGUCUUCACUUUUCUCCCUUAGGCAGGUCUGUCUGCUCAUAUGAUUACUACCUGUCUCCCCAUCUCCACCCCUGUUCCUUAAUAGGCUUUAGGGGAACAGCUUGAGAUAGCAGUUAAGAGCACAGACUCUGAAGUUCAACUAACUGGGCUCAAAUACCACUUCUGCCAUUGACUUACCCAAUGCAUCAGGGAAAUCCCCUAGCUCCUUAAUUUCUUUAUAUGCAAAAUAUUACCUACCUCAUGUCAUUCUAAGAACAAACAUCACAUAUCAGAGUGCCCAUGUUUGAGCCCCAAUUCUGCUUCUGAUCCAACAUUAUGCUAAUGGACAUCCUAGGAGGCAUUAGGUGAUGCCUCAAAUACAUGGGUCCCUGCCACCCAUAGAUUUUGGCUCCUGGCUGUGAUCUGACCCAGACUUGACUAUUGUGGGCAUCUGGGGGAUAAAGCAGUGGAUAGAAGACAUUCUCUCUCUCUCUCUCUCUCACUUUCCACCUUUAUAACUUGCAAAUAAAUAAAUAAAAAUUUUAAUAAAGAAAUGUUAACUCCAUCUUACCUAUUAUACAGAUGAGUAAACUUGUCUGCAGAGAUUAGAUGGUGCCACGAGAGGCUGGCAUGAAAGUUUCUUUUUUUUUUUUUUAACAGGCAGAGUGGACAGUGAGAGAGAGAGACAGAGAGAAAGGUCUUCCUUUUGCCGUUGGUUCACCCUCCAAUGGCUGCUAUGGCUGGCUCAUUGCGCUGAUCUGAAGGCAGGAGCCAGGUGCUUCUCCUGGUCUCCCAUGAGGGUGCAGGGCCCAAGCACUUGGGCCAUCCUCCACUGCACUCCCUGGCCAUAGCAGAGAGCUGGCCUGGAAGAGGGGCAACCGGGACAGAAUCUGGUGCCCCGACUGGAACUAGAACCCGGGGUGCCGGCGCUGCAGGCGGAGGAUUAGCCUAUUGAACCACGGCGCCGGCCAUGCAAGUAUCUUAACUCUUGUCUGCUCUUUCUCUGGGACCCUGAUGUCUUUGCACCCCAGGACUUCCUGGAUAUUCUAUAAAUGCAAUGUGUACUGAACAAAUAUCGAGAAAACUGAUAGCUACUGAGCCCUUAUUUUAAUAUUCUGCUAGACCCUGGAACAUUUUUAAAAAAUGGCUAAAGAAUUGUUCUUACCUUAAGAUACUGUGUCUUGCUGAGAGAGCAUAAGCCUUGGUUUCUUAGAAGCAUUCCCUACUGAAACACUGUUUUUCUUUCAAUUUCCAUGAAUCCAUACUCCCUGUAUAUGUUUUUUGCUGGUUGCUUCUCUACUCCAUUUCAAAAUGUUGUUAUGUGUUUUGUCUGGGUGUUCUCCUUUCCCCUCUGGUUGAUCUCAUUGAGAAAGUUUCAGUCACAAUCUAAGCCAGCAGUUCUUAAAUUUUUGUGUGCAGAAGAAUUUGCACACAAACCAGAGGAGUUUGAAAAAUGAAAAAUUCCUGUAUCCAACACCAAUCUAGACAGAUGACUUAAAUAGGUUUGUAUAUGUUGCUCAGAAAUCUGCCUUUUAAAUAAAUACUCUGAAGGUUCAAAUAGAGAGAGGUAAACCAAAGAUUACACUCUGAGAAACACUGAUCUGUACAUGAUUUCCAAACAGUAAGAUCCAGCUGUAUCCUUCACAUGUCUCCAGGUGCUGCUUUGAACCUUUCCAAAGCUGAAUUGGUUGACUUCUCCUUUGCCAUCAACUAGGUUGUUUCCUGGCAUAUUUUUUUUUCUCAAUGAAUGACACCAGCACCCACCAACUUACUCAUGUGGAAAAUUUGACAAUCAUAUCUGACAUCUCCCUCAUUCCUAAAAUUUAAUUGAACACCAAAUCUGGUCCUUUCUACUUCUAUGACAUGUCUUGAGUUUUAUCAUAGCUUCUACCACUUUCUUGAAAACCAUCUUAAUUCCUUUUCUGAAAUCCCUAUUCCAACUUGUCUCCCUUCAUCAGUGGAUAUCUCUUUUCUCCACAGGGAUUAUUCUCCACAGGGAACCAGUAUUAUCUUUGAAACAAUCUAGCAAAACAAUGUCUCUAUUAUCUUCAAGUCUUAACAAUUUUACAUGUUCCUUUUAAUCCCAAAUCUUUCACACACCAUUCAAAGCCCACCAUGAUCUCUUUCUUGCCUACAUUUAAAUUUCUGCUUCAAUAGUACUUGUGCAGAGAAGUCUUCCAUGAAUUCCUAGAUGGAUUUAUUUCCUUUUAUUAUAUUAUAAUACUUAUUUCAGUGUAAUUAAAAAAUUUAAAUUUUAUCUGAGAGGUAGAGAGACAGGGAGACAGAGGCAGAUAGAGUCCUCCCAUUCAUUAAUCCACUCCCCAAAGGCCUGUAAUAGCCAGGGCUGGACCAAGGCUGGAGCCAGAAUCAGGGAAUUCAGUAUAAAUCUUCCAAGUAGGGAGAAUGGAUGCAACUACUGGAGCCAACACCUGCUGCCUUUCAGGGUCUGCAUUAGUAGGAACCUGGAAUUGUGAUCUGCAGCCAAGAACUGAAUCCCAGACACUCUGAUAAGAUAUGUAGGCACCAUAACUAGUGUGUUAACAAGCAGGCACCUCUAGACAUGCCCACUCCCUCUGUCAUGUCAUUACACCAAUUACACUUCCUCAUGUUAAUCACUGAUCUGAUCCUCUUGGCCAGGAUGAAUGUGAUUUUUCAGCCAAGAUUGUCAUUUGCUUUGCUGAAAUUUCCACAGAAUAAAUGGCUUCAAUGGCAGUUGUCUCCAUUCAUCUUAAUUGACCAAAGUCCUUACAUUUUUAAUUACUCUUAAUACAAGUAUAAUUUGAUAGACAUUUGCUUGUCUAGUUUUUUUGUGUCUGUCUUCCCAAUAAGUAACAUGAAAGCAAGGCUCAGAAAUUUCUGUUCCAGUUCUGAAUGCCUAGUACCAAACAGAUUCCUUACACAAGUUAGACACUCAGAAAGCAGAUAUUAAAUGUUCACUGGGUAAGUAUGUGUUAUAAUAUAAAGAGUAAUAGGAUAAGUGGCAUAAAAUAGAUAUAAAUAAAGUGCUUGUGUAUAAAGCAUUCAAUAUGGUUAGUUUGCUACAUGAUGAUAAAAGUUGCUUUCAAAGCAAGAGCAUUUCCCAGUGAGUGAUAGUGGACUUGAGGGACCACUGGCUGCUCUCAGACAGCUUCAGCUUAUAAAUAAUUAAUCACCCCAGGUGUGGAUGGAUUCACACAGAAAGUAAGUGGAGCCACAGAAGGGAAGAGGUUGCACUUUAAAGCCUUCAAAAUUUGGCAGAAAGGAGAAUGAGAAGUGUCCGUGAAUAGUAGAAAAACCAGAAGACAAUGGUGUUUUGGAAGCUCUAUGAAGAUUUUUGAAGGAGGGAUUGGUCUGCUAUGAAUUAGUUAAGUGAAAUGAACACUGAGAUGUGUCCAUUGGAUUUUGCAAUGUGAAUGAUCACUGAAGAGGUAGACUAGAGCUAUUUUAGAGCUGUGGGAAUGAAAACCUAUUUGUAAUGGGGUAAGAGAAAAUAGGUAAAGAUGAUCAUGCACAUGGGACCCAGAAAAUUCCUCUGUUGGUACAUACCCAGUAGAAACUCUUACAUGUUUGUAUUUAGUCCUAUUCAAGAAUAUUCAAUGCCAUAUUGUUUGUAAUAGCAAAAUAGCAGAAGAGUGGAUAUUUAUGUUAUAGAAUUUCCUUACAAUGGCAUAUCAAAUAGCCAUGAACAUGAAUAAACUGUUACAUACCAUAUAAAGCACAACUUUGAUCUCAUUUAUGUGAAUUUCAAAUGCAGGUAGAACCAAACCAUGUGCUUUUUAGGGAUAUAUCUAUGAAUGAUAAAACCCCAAAGAAAAUUAAUUAAGUUGCCAUUUUAAUGCAAAGGGUCAACAGAUCAUGAAAAAAAUGUUCAAUAACAUUAAUCAUCAGUUAAAUGAAAAUUAAAACCAUAAUAAGAUACCAUCUCAUUCUGGUUGGAUGGCCUGUUAUGAAAAAUGCAAAGGCUAGCUAACGCUGUGGAAGAUGUGGAAAGAAACUUUUGCACAUUGUUGAUGGGAAUAUAAGUGAACACAGCCAUUGUGAAAACCAGUAUGAAAUUCUUCAAAAAACUAAAAAUAGAACUACCGCAUGAUCUAGACUUCUCACUACUAGGUGUAUAUCCAAGGGAAAUGAAGUCAGUCUUCUAUGAAAGAGACAUCUUUAGUCCCAUGUUAAUUGCAGCACCAUUCACAAUUGCUAAGAAAUGGAAACCAUCUAAGUGUCCUCUGGGGGUACCAAAACGAUGGCCUUUAUUGGAGCUGGAGCAGCAUGAGUCAGGAAGAGUUUCAUUGCCUCAGACACAGUGGGAGUGAGGAAACAGAGCUGGGGACCCUUGCUGUAUGACUCUUGACCUAGGAGUGGCCAUGUCUUGUUUCCCAGUUGCCUAUCUAGAUCCCUGAUGAAGCAGAAGGAACUCUGAUUACAGGAAAAUUCAACAAGAAAGAACCUCAGUGAGGUGAGGACACAGCAGGAAGAUGGGCUUCUAUGAACCAGGAGGAGGGCCCUCACCAGAUGCUCAGUCUCCACAACUGUGAGAAAUAAAUGUUUGCUCUAUCAGCCAGUCCGUGGUUGGUGUUUUCUUGAUAGCAGCCUGAAUAGACUAAGAAACCAAUGUAUGAGACAUAGAACCCUGCAGAUUGGAGUGCGCUCUGAGAAAGCCAUUCUAAGGAUCAAUUCUGCUCCAGUGAGUCAAAUGAAGCAUGUGCAGGCUCAACAACCUAGUAAUUCUGCUCCCAGAACAACUUGCAUGGAUUCAAAAGAGAUCUUUAAAGGUUCUGAGAAAAUAAAGGAUGAACACAAACUGACUUUAUCAAGUUAUUUUUUAUAACACAGAAGAUGUUAAAAAUAUGUGCACACAAAGCAACAUAUAUUUUUGCAAAAAUGCAUACAAACAAAAGAAUGCAAUGGAAGUACAGCAUAACGGCCUGCAGAGGUAGGGAACUGGGGUUAUAUCAGAGGAAUAAGGAGGAUAAACAAAAAACAACAGGGGAGAGUCUGGAAAGUGCCUGUGAUGACAAAAUGGGUCACUACUUAACUCAGCUUCUGAACCUGAGGGUUCUGAACUCAGAGAAACAUGCUUAACAUCAACCUAAGACUCCAUUUUCAAACACAGUUUCUGUUAACAGAUGCACCUCUGUAUUUCUCUCACUUAGUUAAGACCUCUUGCAUUCCUACCCAUUCACUUCAGUAAAGAGAAUUUUUUAGUUAACAACAAUAAUGUUGGAUAUGAAACAGUAUACAGAUUUCAUACUUUCUCAACAUAUUAUAGCACUUGCCAUUGUUCAAAAAUUUUUUAGCUAAGGAGGUUUAGAUUAUUUUUCUUAUUACAUUGAGAAGGUUUUGUGAUAUCACAGGGUUGGGGGAGUAAAGGAGAUAUUGGAGGAUAUGUGCUGAUCCAGGUUCAUUCUAACAUUCCUUAAAAAAUAGCUGUUGUUAUUUUCUCUUUCUUUCUUUCUUUCUUUCUCUCUCUCUCUCUCUCUCUCUCUCUCUCUCUCUCUCUCUUUCUUUCUUUCUUUGACAGGCAGAGUUAGACAGUGAGAGAGAGAGAGAGAGAGACAGAGAGAAAGGUCUUCCUUCUGUUGGUUCGCCCCCCAAAGCCAGGUGCCUCCUCCUGGACUCCCAUGUGAGUGCAGGGCCCAAGCAUUUGGGCCAUCCUCCACUGCACUCCCUGGCCACAGCAGAGAGCUGGACUGGAAGAGGAGCAACCGGGACAGGACCAGCGCCCCAACUGGGACUAGAACCUGGGGUGCCGGUGCCGCAGGUGGAGGAUUAGCUUAGUGAGCCGCAGCGCCAGCCAGUUGUUAUUUUCUUUUUUCUUUUUCUUUUUUUUUUUUUGACAGGCAGAGUGGACAGUGAGAGAGAGAGAGAGACAGAGAGAAAGGUCUUCCUUUGACGUUGGUUCACCCUCCAAUGGCCGCCGCAGCCAGCGCGCUGCGGCUGGCGCACCGCGCUGAUCCGAUGGCAGGAGCCAGGAGCCAGGUGCUUUUCCUGGUCUCCCAUGGGGUGCAGGGCCCAAGCACCUGGGCCAUCCUCCACUGCACUCCCUGGCCACAGCAGAGAGCUGGCCUGGAAGAAGGGCAACCGGGACAGAAUCCGGCGCCCCAACCGGGACUAGAACCCGGUGUGCCGGCACCGCAAGGCGGAGGAUUAGCCUAGUGAGCCGCGGCGCCGGCCCAGUUGUUAUUUUCUAAGAGGCUCUGAAUUUAAAAGAAUGGAAGGAUACAUAUCAAUAUGUAAACAUUAAUUAUUGGUUGGGGGGGGUAUAUUGCCAGAGAAAAACUAUGCAUGAUUUAAUGUUAGUUGAAAAUAUAGAUUAUAAACAUCAUCUAUGAUAUUACCAUGAAUAUGAUGCAGUUGAGUCUGUUGUGGGAUAGGAAUAGAUGUAAUAUGAAGAAUUUACAGUUGAUUUGAGAAAGAAAUGAAAGUUUAUGAAAACUAUAAAGGUUCAUUUUUGAUCAAAUCAAACCAAUACAACUGUCAUUUCUUCCCUUUUAAAAUAACUGGAAUUCUGUACUUUUUUAUUGGAAUCUGAACUUAGUUUUUGAGUGAAGACUUAUGGACAUCUUGGCAGAACUAUUACCCAACCAAGUUUUGUUUUCCUGUAUUGGGGCAGUCCUGUAUUUUAGUUUUAAGAAAAUUUUCAUUAUUUAACUUCAGUAUUACACAAUAGGUCUUCAUUAAUAUAUUAGCAAGAUAAAAUCGACCUUUUUGAUUGGCACUGCUUAUCUCAUAUAUUUUAAAAAUACUAGAAAUCUUAAAAUUUUGUCUAAUUUUAAAAAAUGUAUGAUCAUACAAAAAAAGUAGUUCUGGUGCAGUCUGUCUUUUCCAUCAUGGAAAUAUUGUGUUGGAAUUUGGGGAGCAAUAAGCUAGGAUAUCUUGACUUCAAUUUUUACCUUUAAAUAAGGGGCUGAGAUAGAAAGAGUGGUUAUAGAAUUAUCCAUUUGUUUCAUGGGAAAACUCAUUAUUCUCCUCCCCCUCUCUUCUCCUUAGCUACCCAUUCCAUCAGACACUGAUGUAGCAGGUCUGGGGCAGAGCUCAGGAAUCUGCAAAGUUAUUUGGGUGCAGGUAAUCAAAAAUCAUGUUUUUGGAAAUAGAGGAAAUGAUUCACAAAAUUCUUUCCACCUUUAUUUUAUGCUAGAAAAAAUUUUAUCCAACUUACCAUGUUUUCACUCAUCUCCCUUAAAUCUUUAAAUUGAUAUGUGCUGUUUUGUCCAAAAUUGUUACUGACUUGUAGAUGUGACAUUUUAAAGGUGCCAUGAUAGUACUCCAUUUUUUGGCCUGUGACGAGAGUGAAAAGUGGGAGAACUAAGUGGUUUGGUUGAAGAUGUCCGAAUCUAAGACUCAAUGUAAUGGGGAUUGUAUGAAGCCUUGAAUGUACUUCUAAGCUGCUUUCUAAUUGAAUGUUGUAAAAAUAAUAGACAUCAUAAUGUGCUAAGUUAAUAACAGUAGUUGAUAUUUAUUGAGUGCCUACUAUUUGCUAUGUACUGUUCUGAAUAUUUUACAUGUUGUAACUUAUAUGGUCCUCAGGUUAGCUUUCUAAGAUUGACAUCUCCAUCAUUUUAAAGUUGAAGAAAGUAAGGCACAGGAUCAUUAAAUAACUUAGACACAUGUUGGCUUAAGAGCUUGAACAUUUCUUUACUAUAUUGCCCACUGCUGAAUUGAAAUGUGUAUUCCAAAUACGAUCAGCCUUUGUAUUCAUGGAUUCAAUCAACUGUUUGUGAAAAAUAUUAAAAAAUAAAUUGCCUCUGUUAACCAGACACUGAGAAGGAUAUAAGGGAGGGAGAAUUGGGAGAAGUUGGUUAAUGGAGAUAAAAUUACAGGAGUGUUAAUUGCAAUUAACAAUAAUUUACUAUGCAUUUCAAAAGAGCUAGAAAAGAGGACUAUGUUCCCAACACAAUGAAAUGAUAGAUUUUGGGGUGAUGGAUAGUCUAAUUAUCCUAAGUUGACACUCCUAUAGUAUAUACAUGUAUUGAAAUGUCACACUGUACCCCAUAAACAUGUACAAUGAUUGUAUAUCAAUUAGACAAAUGAAUAAAUUGGGUCUCUGAUGAACAUGUUAAGACUUUUUUCUUGUCAUUAUUUCCUAAACAAUACCAUAUAAAAUCUAUUUAUGUAGCAUUUACGUGGUAUUAGAUAUUCAGAAUAACCUAGAGAUGAUUUAAAGUAUACAGGAUACUGUGCACAGGUACUAUGCAAGCAUUGUUUUAUUUUACAUAAGGGACAUGAGCAUCCACCAAUUUUAAUAUACUGACGUGGUCCUGGAACCAGUCCUCUGCAGAAACUGAGGGAUGACUGUACUCUACUGAAAACAGAGGUAAAGGACCAUCUUUGAAAAUUUUAAUUUGUGAUGAAAGAACCAGGCACACUAAAAAAUGAUGGUAAGAAAGACCAGGGAAAAGGCUGUCUGAAGGUAAAGUUGAAAAUAGUGGGUCACACAGGUAAGUUGAUCAGAUCUCUGCUUGGCUAUCAAGAAAGACAGACAAGAAGAGCAAGCAGUGGAGACUCCUGGGAAUCUGGUUAUCUUAAGGCCCGGAAAAGGCAAGAAAGCUGAAAAGAGUUAACAAUAGAGAUCAACACCCUUGAUCCCUGCACAACGUGGCUCAGGGAGGAAGCAAUGGGUUUCCUGAUCAUAGAUUUAGAAAAGAAACAAGGGUCUUAGGAUGGACAGUCUCCUAACUGGGACAUUACUGGGCCCUGCAAUGCUUUUUGGUUCCCUUAACUAAGUAAUAAUACUAUACUAUACUAUACUAUACUAUACUCCAUGCUGUUAUCAAGUCACAUUCUCAUUUUAUAAAGGAUUUUAUGAAACCAAAUUAGCUGCCCUGAGAAUCUUUUGUCACUGUUGUAAACUAUGUGAUUGUUAUAUCAUUGGAGGAUAACAACUGACAAAACCAUUGAAGUAAGCAGUUUUAGAUAAUAAUUGUACUAUACUUCCACGUGAGAGUGACAUUGUGGGAAUUUGUUAAAAAAUGUAAAUGCUUUUUACUUUCCUCAGAGAUGCAAUAUGAAAAGAAAGAAUUCUGAAAUGAUUUAUUUGUGUGAUUAAAAACAUACUAGCGAAUAAAGAUACAGUCCUUUGCUGUUGUUUGGGGACUAAGAAGUGAAUUAGAAGACCGAUGACCACUGCCACCACUAUCAGUGAUAACACAACCAGAAGGGUGAUCAUCCAUGGCUGCAGGGCUCUCCUUCGGGUACCAAAUCCAACUGCCCUGCAGAAAGAAAAGCCCACAAGUUACUCUCGCGUUAUAGUUAUAGUGGUUAUUGGCUUUUUUUGUUCUCCUUGAAAAGUUGUAAUUUCUCUUGCCCUUGCCAGCAAGACACUUGUUUACAAUUUUGAUCCGGGUUAUCUUGACCUGAUGGAGAUUGUUACAAGCAUCAGGAUGUAGGAUGGAUAUGUUGCUCUUGGUUUCUAUUUCUAGAGGCAUGUGGUAACCCUGUCUGACUUCUCUCAGUGGAGUGGUCCAAUGUAGUUCAGGUGCUUGAAAAGAGGACCAUUCCUCCUUUCUCCAAUGCUGUUACUUAUUUCUUUAUUUGUUCAUCUAAAUUUUAGAGUUUAGGAAUUGAUUUUAAAUCUAUUUCUCAUUCACUUUUUAUCUAUUAUCUUUACUGUGAAAUCUUUCAGACACAUAGAAAAUUAGAAAGAAUAGUAUAAUAGGACACUCAUAUUCAUCAAAUCACUUUAUCAGCUGUUAACAUUUUUACAGAAUUUACUUCAUUCAUUCUCUGAUGUGCAUUUUAAUGUGAAAUAGACAGCAAGUUUCUUCAGCAAAUAAUUAUUAUAAUCAAUUAGGACAUUUCCAACAAAAUCACAUAAUUAACAUUCCUAAAAUAUUAAUAACAUUACUCCAAUAUCUCAUAAUACUCAAUCUUCUAAUUUUCUUUAUUGUCCUUGUUAUAUUUAUAUAUUGUUUUAACAAACCAGAAGAGCCAAGGACCAAUGUAGUACACUUGAUUGUAAUGUCUUUUAAGUCUCUUUUGUAACUUAUGCACAGCAAAUGAAAAAUUUCCAAUUAUAAUCUACAAAAUGGGGGAAAAUAUUUGGGAGGUCUACAUUCUGACAAUGAGUUAAUAUCCAGACUCUAUUGAGAACUCAAAUAAUUCAAUGGCAAAAUGGAAAUAACCUAAUUAAAAUGGUAGUAGAUCCGAACAGACAUUUCUGAAGAGAAGACAUAGAAAUGAUCAACUGGUAGGUGAAAAAAAAUGUUCAACAUUACUAAUUAUCAGUCAAAUUCAAAUCAAAAGUACAAUGAGAUACUAUCUCACUCCAAUUAUAUUGGCUGUUAUCAAAAAGACAAGUGUUGGUGAGGAUACAGAGAAAGGGGAAAUCUUGUAUGCUGUUGAUGGGAAUGUAAAUUAGAAUACCAUUGCGGAAAACAGAUGAAGAUUUCUCAAAAAGUGAAAAGUAGAACUACUGUAUUAUUCAGUAAUCCCACUACUAGUUAUGUGCCCACAGGAAAUGAAAUCAGUCUCUUGAAGAGACAUCUGAAUGCCCAUGUCUCUUGCAAUACUAUUCGCAGUGACUAAAAAAAAUGGAUGCAGUGUAAGUGCCCAUUCACUGAUGAAUGGAUAAUGUAAAUGUGGUACAUCUGCACAAUAGAAUAUUAAUCAAUCAUAGAAGAGGAUUAAACAUUGUCAUUUGUGACAUGGUAAGUGAAAUAAUCUAAGCACAGAAAGAUUAGUAUCACAUGAUCUCACUCAUGUAGAGUUAAAGAAAAAAAGAUGAACUCACAGCAUUCGAAAAUAUAAAGGUGGUUACCAGAGUGGGGAGAGAGGGAUUGGGGAAGGUUGAUUAAUGGGUACUUAGUUAUAACUAGGUAGAAGUAAGAAAUUAGGAGGUUCUUUUGCAUAGUAUAGUGAUUGUAGAUAAUGAUUCAGCAUUACACAUUGUUAAAAAUUUUAAAUAAAAAAGAAAAGAAUGCUCCACUCUCUGAACCUGUUUGAUUGCUUUUUUGUUAUAUUUGACAUGUUCUUCUAUCUCUUUCAUUUCCUGUGCACUGGAAUUUAGGUCCAACACCUAGGUUAGAUUUUUGAAAAUUCAUAUGUGGUGUUAUGCUCUUUUUUUCUGUGUCACACCAGUAAUAUAGAACAUUUCCACAAUUUUGGAGGAAAAAUAGCUUCACUUUUUUUCUAGCACCUUAUGAUCAUCACAUUGUGUCAAGUAUUUGUUUGCAGCUAUGUUCAUCCACAGUUGACUGGAACUCCUCAAUGGGCUGUCCAUCUUUUUACAUUAACACCUAAUACCUUUCCUGGCACAGAGCAGGAACUUUAUAUUCUAUGAGAAUCAGGCAGGUUUAUACCAGUGUUACAUGUGAAACAACAAAGGCUGAGUGAGUAGCUACCAAACUUGCUAAUGUCAAGUGUCUUAGAAGGACCAGAGUUAUCCAACUCUAAUGCCCAUUCCUUUCAACUUGCUAUUGUGAUGAAUUUUAACUACUUUAUCAAAGGUUAUCUUAUCACAUAUGUAUAUUGAUAGCCCAGAUUCUUUGGGAGCAGAAUAUAUUUUGCAUAUCUCCUUCACAGAAUUUAUUGCAAUGCUUUGUACUAAACAGAUUUUUUUGAAAUUAUUGGUUGAUUUUAUAGGAGCUUUCCUGUCAAAUAUAAAAAUAUUUUUAUACGUAAAUAGUAAGAUAAAAGGUACAAACUAGAUCUAGGCAGUUAAGAUGAUGAUUUGGCCAUAAGUAAUAAUUUUAGCCAACAUACUUAGUGAAACUUGGAUACCUGAAUUCUAGCUGGUAUGGAGAAUAUGUUCCAAAUGUGUAUUGACUGAUUAAAAAGAAUCUAGUAGGCUUGGGCAUUAAGCCUAGUAGUUAGGACAUUGCUUAAGAUGUCCAUAUCCCACAGUGAGGUGCCUGGGUUUGAUUACCCCAGCUCCAGCUUCUGAUUCCAGCUCCUGGUCAAUGCAGAUCCUGAAAGGCAGUGGUAAUGAUUCAAAUAAUUUGAUUCCACCACUCACAAGAGAGACUUGUAUUGUGUUCACCAGGUCCCAGCUUCAGCUCUACCCAAUCUCUAGCCAUUUUGGUAAUUUGGGGAAUGAACCAGAUAGGAGCACACUCUCUCUCGCUCUUGCUCUCUCACCAUCUCUGUAUCUCUUUGUCUCUCUAUCUCAGAAUCUCAAAUAAACUAAGAUAAAAAAAAUAGAGAACUGUUUGUAGAAAGUCAGUGUGUCCUCUGAGAACAAAGGCUAAUGCUAAUAUAACAAACAGAAGCAUCGUGUGAUGUGGCAUUACUUAACCUUUCAUAUAGCUUAAAGCCUACAUUCAGAAGUGAAGGAUACCUUAUAUAUUACUUAGUAUAAUUUAACCACUUUCCAAACAAAGAAACUGAUGUCCAAAUACGAUUAAGUGACCUCUGUAAUAUAAUAAAAUAAUCAUCUCAGACUCAAGUCUUCUAACUUCUAGGACAUAAGUUUAUUCUCAGAUCCAGAUUCCCUUGCCAUGGAUGCUAUUUGGUUAAUUAUUGAGGACAUUUAUCUGUUACGUAUUUAUCUAUUCAUAGAAUCCUACAUUCUCUAUUGGUGUGAUUCUUCAUUUUCUCAGAGAAUCCUCUCUGUAUGUCUAAGCUAUUUGAAAAUGAAAACUGUCCAAAGGAGAAAGGUUAGAACUCAAAGGUAUUCACAACUUUUAAACCAAUCUCCCUGUUACAGCACAGCUGAUCAUGGUGAACAGGCAGGGGAAGUAGAUGAUAGGAGUUCACAGUCCCCACUGUCCAGACACAGAAACUCAUGGUGUAAUGGGCUGAACCAUGGUAUCCUUAGCAGAAGAGCAACUCGGCAGUCAUUGAUACACUGCUCAAGUGCAUGGCAGUGGCACCUUCAGUCCCAUAGAAACAGCUGUGACCACCUGGAGGAAAAUGCUGACAGACAACCCAGGGAGAUAAGCAUCCAUCAAAAUGUUUCUCCUCUUGGAGAAUACAGCCUGCACCCAGGCCAAGUGACAAAAGCUUAGGAAACGUAGGUCAAGGCUGUGGGCACCUGAUUGUUUAUGGGUAAACUUUCAACUUACUACCAACUUUUAUAGACAUAAAUAAGCAAUUCAUGCAAACAGAAAUGUGCCAUCACCUUCCCAUCCUGUGGAGGUUAUUAUUUCUUUGCCUACUUUUACUUUGGAUUGGAAAAGAAAUGCACUUAAUAAAGCCCUUUGGAAUCUUGCCUAUUUAUAAGUAGGUAGGCACCAUUUUGCCCUUGAAUAUCUAUCAGACGAAGGUGUAUUAUAAUCGUAAGCUUGGCUACUUAAAGCAAUACCCAUGUAUUAGCUCACAAUUCUGUAUGUUGCAUGGUUGGGCUCUGCUGAGGAUCUCACAGAGCUGAAAUCAAGGUGUUGGUUGGGUCUGCUCUUUCAUAUGAGACUUGCAAUCCUCUUCCAAGCUCACUCAGCUAUUAGGCAGAAUCCAGUGCCUUUAACCCAUUCUCCUCCUGGCUUACAGUUAAGGGGCUCCUCUUAGCCUCUGGAUUUCUUCCACUCUUUACCAGGGGACCCAUGCCAUCUUUAGACUCAUUGAAGAAAAUUUCCCUCACAUCGAAUUUCUCUCACCUGCUCAUGUUUUUCUCUAGGUAAAGUCCAGUCCCUUUUAAGAUGUCACUGGAUUACAUUGGGUUCACUAAGGAUAAUCUCUUCCAUGUAAAAGUCAAGCUGAUUGGGGAUAUUAAUUACAUCUUCAGGGGCCGGUGCCGUGGCUCACUUGGUUAAUCCUCUGCCUGCGGCACCAGCAUCCCAUAUGGACACCAGGUUCUAGUCCCAGUUGGGGCACCGGAUUCUGUCCCGGUUGUUCCUCUUCCAGUCCAGCUCUCUGCUGUGGCCUGGGAGGGCAGUGGAGGAUGACCCAAGUGCUUGGGCCCUGCACCCACAUGGGAGACCAGGAGGAAGCACCUGGCUCCUGGCUUCGGAUCGGUGUAGCUCCGGCCAUAGUGGCCAUUUGGGGAGUGAACCAAUGGAAGGAAGACCUUUCUCUCUGUCUCUCUCUCUCUCUCACUGUCAAAAAAAAAAAAAAGUCAAGCUGAUUGGGAAUAUUAAUUAUAUCUUCAAACUCCUCUCAUAGCAACAUCUAGGUUACUGUUUGAUUGAAUUGCUGGAGAAUGUGUAAGUACACCAGAAGGUGGGAAUUUUGAAGGCUUUCAGAAUUCUGCCUACCACAACUGAAAAUAUGACUUUCAUGAAAAUAGAAACCUGCAGCCUUCAAAGAAAUUUUGUGACAUUUAAAUCUUUAAUUUUUGUAAGGAGUGGUGCUUGUGAACUCUUCCAUGAAAAGAAAAUUCUAUGCUGGCAUAGAAUUGCAAGAUUAAGGGAUGUUUUAAUCAAGUCAUACUUUCAGGAGUACAAAGUGAACCCUUAGAAAUUAAAAUGGUAAGAAAGCUACAUGUAAUCCCAGAUCAUGACCUAAUUGGCACUCUGCAUUCUUUUAAGGAAAGGGCAAGUACAGAUGAUCUUAUUCUGAGUAAUACAACCUAUAAUCUCUUGUAAAUCCAAUUUAUCAUAUCCAUUACACCUUCAUUAUGUUUGAUGAUUCAGUAUUUCAAAGGGUGUAUUCCUGACACAUUUUUCUAGAGAUGUUAAUGAAAACAUGGAUAAAUUUGAGUGAUUCUGUGACUUUGCUUUCUCAUAUCUUACUUACUGAAAGAUAAACACUUUGAGGAACGUGUGGAAGAGCAUGAAUUUUCAAUAAACAGAGCUGGGACAUGCAGUUUCCUCCCAUCUUUAAGCUGGUGGCUUUCAUACCUGAGUCCAAAGAAAUUCUGAAUUAAGUGGAAGACAUCCUGGACCCCCUACUCCUCAGGGAUCUUUCUGAUCCCAGAAAAGCCUUCCCUGAUAGGCAACUGCUCUACUACUCUGCUUCCAGCUACAGUUCUCUUAUCAUAUUACCUACAUGUGCCAAAGUUUUCCUUUCACGAUUAUUUUUCUGCUCUCUUGUAGAUGGAUAUAAGGUACCAUUAUACACAUGUAGAUGCAUGUGAUGCUUAUACAAAUGCCCAUUUACAGGUAGGUUAUAUUACAUAAAACUUCAUUAAACAGCUUUUUCAAGUUCAAAAUAUACUAUCAUCUAAAAAGGCAUUGUUGGUCAGCUUCCCAGGCCAACUCAUGUACUUCUAAUGUAACUGAAAAGAGAACCCAUUCAAGUUGACUGGGGUACAUCUCUGAAGGAAACUUCCUAAAGAACCAGAAUGGUAGGGCUGGGAUUGUGGUGUAGCAGGUAAGGCUGCUGUGAUGCUGGCAUCCCAUAUGAUUGUUGGUUCGUGUCCCUGAUGUUCUACCGCUGACCCAGAUCCCUGCUGACUAACUGGGAAAAGGAAUGUGAGAAGUCCUAAGUACCUGAGCUCCUAAGACCCAUGUGGGAGACCCAGAGGAAGCACCUGGAUCCUUGCUUCCACCCAGCCCAGCCCUGGCUAUUGAGACCAUUUGAAGAGUGAACUGGUGGAUGGUAGGCUCCCUCUCUCUGUCUCUCCCUCUUUCUGCGUAAUUCUAUCUUUCAAAUAGAUAAAUACAUCUUUUUUUUUUAAAGAACAGAAAUGUUAACUCCUCUUUAAUCAAUGUAAAUUAUAUUUCUCUCUGAGCAGGUGAACUCAGUCAUUUGCUAUAUGAAAAACAACCUUUUAUGAUGACUUAAUAUACUCUGAUAUUUGAAUGUUUGUGUACUCUUUGACUUUUAGAGAAUCAUCAUUUAGUACCAAAAAUGAUAAGAACAAGAGAUACUAUUGGGGCUGGCACUAUGGGCCAUGCCUCCACCUGUGGUGCCAGCAUCCCAUAUGGGCACCUGUUUGUGUUCUGGCUGCUACUCUUCUGAUCCAGCUCUCUGCUAUAUCAUGGGAAAGCAGUAGAAGAUGGCCUAAAUGCUUAGGCCCCUGUACCCACAUGGGAGACCUAGAAGAAUCUACUGGUUCUUGGUGUCAGGUCGGCCCAGCUCUGGCAAUUGUGGCCAUUUGAGGAGUGAACCAGCUGAUGGAAGACCUCUCUCUCUCUCUCUCUCUGUAACUAUCUCUCAAUUAAAUAAAUAAAAUAUUUUUAAAAAGAGAUACUAUUUAGGAAGUGACAACUUUAUGGGGAUUGUUGAUACCAACAACCUCUCUAUAAAAUGUGUUCAAAAUAAUCACAGAAAACUCAUAUUAUGAAAAAAAGUAUGCCUGUAUAUUUUUGGACUCAAACUCACACUAACUUGUAAUGACAUGCCUGAGGCACUUAGAAGUAUGAGGAGUCAGCUGAAAAGAGCCCCAAUCAGAGUAACAUGAACCUUAUUAAAACUGAAACAAGAAAAAACAUCAACUUUGUGGUGAAGCUUGAAUGGAAAAAUGAGGAGCCCACCGAUACUUUGUGAAAAAUUUAUAGAGAUAAUGCUCCAAAAUGAUCAGCCACUUACAAAUAGAUACUUCAUUUCAAAAAGUGACAGGACAGCCGGCGCCGCAGCUCAAUAGGCUAAUCCUCCGCCUGUGGCACCGGCACACCGGGUUCUAGUCCCCGGUCGGGGCGCUGGAUUCUGUCCCGGUUGCUCUUCUUCCAGGCCAGCUCUCUGCUAUGACUCUCUCUGUGCAGCGGAGGAUGGCCCAAGUCCUUGGGCCCUGCACCAGCAUGGGAGACCAGGCGAAGCACCUGGCUCUGGGCUUUGAAUCAGCAUGGUGCGCCGGCCGCACUGCGCCAGCCGCGGCAGCCAUUGGAGGUUGAAUCAAUGGCAAAAGGAAGACCUUUCUUUCUGUAUCUCUCUCUCACUGUCCACUCUGCCUGUCAAAAAAUAAAUAAAUAAAAAAAAAUGUGACAGGACAAUGUUGAAAAUUAAGCCUGCAGUUUCAGAUCAUCCACAUCUAUUUGUGAGGAAAAAAUUAAUCUCACUGGUGCCCUAACUGAAGAUGAUUCACAACUAACAGCAGAAACAGUAAAUACAGCAGACGACACCUCAAAUGGUCCCACUUACAAAAUUCUGCUUGAAAAUCAAAGCUGAGCAAGCAUUCAACUCAGUGGGUACCAAAACUGCUGUGCUCAGGUAGCCUGCAGACAAGAGCAGAGAUUUUAAGAGAAAUUUUAAGCAAGGGAGAUCCAGAUCCUGAAGUAUUUCUUUGAAGAACUGUGACAGGGGAUGAAACAUGGUUUCUGUCGCUCCCCCUCUUCGUGGAGGAACGACACUAAACCCUGCCUAGGCUUCAUAUCCGAGUCACGGCACCAUUAUGUCGCUCCCCCUCUUCAUGGAGGAACGACACAGGACCCUGCGCUGUUCUUUCGUCUGCUCGGCCCUCCCCGGGUUUGCUGCUGGUCCUUCCUGGGUUGGCUGCUGGUCCUUCCACCUCCGUGGAAGGGCGGUUCCCCCUGCCACAUUCCCCACUUCCGCGGGGGAGCGGCACACCGCCGGCCGGCUCUCUCGGGGGCUGCACAGGUGUUCCCCUUAGAUGUUCCCCUUAGAUGUUCCCCUUAGAUGUUCCUGGUGCAUGCCGUCUCUCUCCUCCUUUAUAGUCCUCCUCUGCCAAUCCCAACUCGGCUGCCCACACGCCAAGUACGCUGCUCUCCUCCAAUCAGGAGCAAGUCCUACAGUUUAUUGGCUGAACUGGAGGCAGCUGCGUAGAAGCUGUUUUCUUCUCUCCCAGCGCCAUAUUGUGGGAGAGCAGAUGCAUAGAAUAAGUCUUAAUUCCAGUAACUUAGUCUAGUCCGAGUUGCUCCCCACAGUUUCCAAGUGUGAUCAUGAAUGCAAAGCAUAAGCAAAGCCAUGGCUACCAAGAGGGAAAGUGGACUAGUCAAAGCAAAAGCAGAUAGAUCGGGGUGCAUGUUUGAUCUAGUAGGUAAAGGUUGAGAUGCAUCUGGGUUCAAUUCUAAGAUCUGGCUUCUGAUUCCAACUUUUUGUUAAUAUGGAUCCUGGGAGGCAGCAGGUGAUGACUUAAAUUAAUUAGGUUAUAAGCACCCACAUGGGAGAUCUGGAUCAUGUUCCUGGCUCCAAACUUUGGCCUGUCCCAGACCUGGAAAUUGAGAGUAAACCAGCGAAUCGGAGCCCUUUCUGUCUGAGUCUAUCACUCUGCCUCUGAGAAGGAAAAUAAAAAAAAAAAAAAACAGACUGGUUAAGAACAAAGUCAUGGCACCAGAUUUUUGACUUUCUGGAGGGACAAGGAAUGGCACUGCUUAUUAUGAGUGUUUUGAGAAUGUUGGCUAAAGCUGCCGACAAAAACAACUGGGAAAACCUUGACCACAUGUGUUUGGUCAUUGCUUUCAUCGACAAAGGCAGUUUUGUGAGAUCUUCAGAGUGAAAUCAUUAGGCACUCCUUAUGACUCCUUUUUGAUUCAUAAUCUUAGAAUAUGCAUUGAGGGGCAGGUGUUUGGUUUAGAAAUUAAGCUUCCAAUUGGGACAUCUGCAACCCAUGUUAGAGUGCCUGAGUCAGUCAUGGAUCUGCUUCCAAUUAUAGUUUCCUGCUAAUGUGCACCCUGGGAGGCAGCAGGGGAUGGCUCAAAUGGUCAGGCUGCUGCUUCCUAUGUGGGAGACCUGGAUUGAGUUUCUGGGUACUGGCUUCAGGCGUGGCCCAGCUCUGACUGUUGCAGGUAUUUUGAGAGUGAACCAGCAAUGAGGAGCUCACUCUCUGUCUCUCUGCCUCUAGAUCUCUCAAAUAAAUAAAUAAAUGAAUACAUAAAUAUUUAAAAGGCACCCAUUUUUAUUCAGUUAUAAUGUAAAGAGGACUGAAAUGACAUGCCAAAUUCCCAGAACUCUCAGAUCUUUAGGGAUAGACUAAAUGGAUACGGUUCUCACUUCCAAAAGUUUCUUGAGCUUGACAGAGCCUAUGUUGAGUAAUAGAGUUUAUAUUUAAAAAUUUUACCUUCUAAUUUCAUUUUCCAUGAACCUUUUAAAAUUCCCUCAUAUGUUGUCACAUCUUAUAUUUCAAAUAUCCUUGUCAGCAGAGUUAUUUUUGGUCAUUUUAUAGAUGAGCAACUUGCUCUGAGAGAGAAGUAAUUUUGCUGAGUUCCUACAGCCAGGAGGCAGUUAACCUCACUCUGGGGGACUCUGACUCCAAAGCCCAUUCUUUUGAGAGACUUUUUUUUUUUCAGAACAAUCCUCCUAUUAAUGCAACUGAAUAAUUUGCGGAAUUUCAAGCAGUAUAGAAGGUAGGGAAAAGACUUAUGAAAUGAUGGUAGAGGUUCCACCAACCAGAAGUUCCACUAAUCUUCAUUGUGUUUAAGUCUCGAAUUUGAUUUUCCUUUGUUAUCUUCUCCAUUUCUAUUGGUUUUAAAUUUGCAUGUACUUUCAAAAAAAAAAAACAAAAAAAUUUGCAUGUACUUUCAAAAAAUUAGGAUUCCCUUCCUUCCCCUCCCCAGAGUAGUGGGCCAAGGUAACCUGGAGGGAAGGAGGGCUGUGAGGCAGGUGUGUAUAGGGAAAAUUAAUGACCAUAUUGGGAUUGACUGUAAACUUUGGAGGAUUUUAGCAAAUUUGAUGCCUUUUUUCUAUGCUGUCAAGAAUUCUCUGUAGAUUUCAAUUAUUGAUAUGUCACUUGUGGACAUUAUCUUCUUCUAAAGUCUGAAAGAACUUGAAGAUAGUGAAUAACUCAUACAAAGCAUUGUAGUAUUUCUUAAGCCAUGUCACAAGUAGUAGGGAAAAGGGGACUUUUCUGUAUUUAAGUGGGUUUGGAAAAACUGGUUUAAAUAAAGUUAAAUAAGAUCUCACCACUGAAAGUCUUAAAGCCUUUAGUACUUUCAAAUGGGAGUAAAGGCUUUCUGUCUUUUUUUUUUUUUUAAGAUUUAUUUAUUUGAAAGGCAGAGUUACACACACACACACACACACAGAGAGAGAGAGAGAGAGAGAGAGAGAGAAGGAGACACAAAGAAAGCUUUCCAUCCUCUGGUUUACUCUCCAGAUGACCAGAAUGCCUCGGGCUGGAUCAGGCUGAGCAGGAGUCAGGAACUUCUUCUUGGUCUCUCCCAUGGGUGGCAGGGAUCCAAGCACUUGGGCCAUCUUCUGCUGCUUUCUCAGGCCAUUAGCAUGGAGUUGGAUCAGAAGUAGAGCUUCCAAGAUUCGAACCAGUGUUCAAAAGGAAAGCUGGAGUUGCAAGUCUUGGCUCAAUUUGUAUCACAGCGCCAGCCACCAGUCUUGGUUUUUUAUAUCCAAGCAUGGAUACAACUCAAGUGUCUCCUACACCACCUAGAUCUUUGUCACUUGAUAUCUUUGUCACUGUUUGUGACAAAGGUUUCCAAAUAUACUUCUUGCUGUCACCUCUCCUGAUAUUUCCUGGACUCCUCUGUCUCAUAGAGCAGUUUUGAGAAUGUGGCUAUAGCUGCAGUCUCACCAGUAUGGUGCUUCGUGGAAUACUUCAUUGUCAAGAAGGUUAGCAACAGAAAGGGGGAAUUCUGUAUCUCAUUUCCAGGAACAAGUGGGAGUGAGGGUGGGCCAAAAAGGUACAAAAUAGAGUAAAAUAUGUGAAUUUAGGCCAAAUAUGAUUUUCUGUGUGAAAUGGUAUAUACAUUGAGGUUAGGGAGGAGCUCAGGGAAAUCAGAAUAGGAAAAUCAGGAACUUUGUAUCCGCAAAGCCUUUCUUAAAGAGUGUGGUACUUAGUCACUGAAUUACUGAUAGAGCAUAAUCACAUGCUAGUUUGAAUUAAAGCAAUAUUAUUGGGGCCAGCACUGUGGCAUAGUGGGGAAAGCUGCCGUCUGCAGUGCUGGUAUCCCAUGUGGGCGCCAGUUUGAGUCCCAGCUACUCCACUUCUGAUCCAGCUCUCUGCUAUGGCCUGAGAAAGCAGUGGAAGAUGGCUCAAAUCCUUGGGCCCCUGCACCUGCAUGGGAGACCUGGAAGAAGCUCCUGGCUUCAGAUUGGCACAGCUCCGACCAUUGAAGCCAAUUGGGGAGUGAACCAGCAGAUGGGAGACCUCUCUCUCUGCCUCUCCUUCUUUCUCUGUGUAACUCUGACUUUCAAAUAAAUAAAUAAUUUUUUUUUUUUUAGAAAAAGCAACAUGAUUGAAUUGACUUUUAAUUGGGGGUGAUAAAGCAUUGAUGAUAAGUACCCAAUCUUUGGAGUCAGACUAUUUGAGUUCAAGUCCCAUUCAUGUCACUUGUUAGCUCCACAGUGUAAGACAAGGCACUUGGCUUUUUGAGUCUUAGUUCUUCCAUUUGUAAAAUGCAGAUAAAACCAAUAUCUUAACGUAUUAACACACAUAAAGUUACUGGCACAUAGUGAAUAAUAUGUAAACGCGAUCGUUUAUCAUUCUCUGUGGUGUUGCUUAUAAACUUGAUAGAAAUCAGCCAUGCUGAGAAAAUGAUGUGGUGAAAACAGCAGUUUGGAUUUUAAGAUUAUCUCAGGGUUGCCCCACAGCACGUUGCUUAGAUAGGUAGGGUUCCAGAAAGUCUCCAAAAUAUUUUUGAUGCAACAUAAAUUAGCAAAUAUGUCUUCCGCUGUGACCAAAAGUGCCACAAUAAAGUGGAAAUGCCAUUUAAUAAGUAGAAUAUUAAUAAGGGUGUAAGGAUUUCAUUCACAAAACAGAGCCCAUUACACAAUGUUCUACUUUGCUGGCAAAGAUAGGUCGUGCCUAAUGUUGUUAUAUUGCGUGUGUGUGUGAGUUUAGUCUUAACAUGUUUUUGGCCCAAGUUUCAGUCCCACCCACUAAAAUUUGUAAGGUGUGUAUUAAAUUGCAGGUGAAAGCCCAGAUUGGAAUAAUACAUAUACAUAUAUAUGUAUAUAUAUAAAAUGAAUUGUUUAUAUUAAA
Oryctolagus cuniculus (rabbit) is the source of this 22488-nucleotide non-coding RNA. The record is from RefSeq and is a predicted model, not a curated record. NCBI's taxonomy places the organism in Eukaryota, Metazoa, Chordata, Mammalia, Lagomorpha, Leporidae.